CCUACGGGAGGCAGCAGUGGGGAAUUUUCCGCAAUGGGCGCAAGCCUGACGGAGCAACGCCGCGUGAGGGAUGAAGGCCUCUGGGCUGUAAACCUCUUUUCUCAAGGAAGAAGACCUGACGGUACUUGAGGAAUAAGCCACGGCUAAUUCCGUGCCAGCAGCCGCGGUAAUACGGGAGUGGCAAGCGUUAUCCGGAAUUAUUGGGCGUAAAGCGUCCGCAGGCGGCCUAUUAAGUCUGUCGUUAAAGCGUGGAGCUCAACUCCAUUUAAGCGAUGGAAACUGGAAGGCUAGAGUGUGGUAGGGGCAGAGGGGAUUCCCGGUGUAGCGGUGAAAUGCGUAGAUAUCGGGAAGAACGCCAGUGGCGAAGGCGCUCUGCUGGGCCAUAACUGACGCUCAUGGACGAAAGCCAGGGGAGCGAAAGGGAUUAGAUACCCCUGUAGUCCUGGCCGUAAACGAUGAACACUAGGUGUCGGGGGAAUCGACCCCCUCGGUGUCGUAGCUAACGCGUUAAGUGUUCCGCCUGGGGAGUACGCACGCAAGUGUGAACUCAAAUGAAUUGACGG
RNAcentral lists this ribosomal RNA (563 nucleotides) under uncultured bacterium. RNAcentral's name for it is "bacterial SSU rRNA". It matches the Rfam family "Bacterial small subunit ribosomal RNA", at positions 338 to 916 of the family's 1533-position model. The record is from RNAcentral.